This 433-nucleotide ribosomal RNA is filed under the name uncultured bacterium. RNAcentral's name for it is "partial 16S ribosomal RNA". It matches the Rfam family "Bacterial small subunit ribosomal RNA", at positions 29 to 507 of the family's 1533-position model. The record is from RNAcentral.
AACGAACGCUGGCGGCAUGCCUAACACAUGCAAGUCGAACGAGACCUUCGGGUCUAGUGGCGCACGGGUGCGUAACGCGUGGGAACCUGCCCUUAGGUUCGGAAUAACUCCCCGAAAGGGGUGCUAAUACCGGAUAAUGUCUUCGGACCAAAGAUUUAUCGCCUUUGGAUGGGCCCGCGUUGGAUUAGCUAGUUGGUAGGGUAAAAGCCUACCAAGGCGACGAUCCAUAGCUGGUCUGAGAGGAUGAUCAGCCACACUGGGACUGAGACACGGCCCAGACUUCCUACGGAGGCAGCCGUUGGGAAUUUUGGAACAUUGGCCAAAGGCUUAUUCCGCCAUGCCGCGUGGGUUAAGAAGGCCUUAGGGUUUUAAAGCCUCUUUAACCCGGAUGAUUAUGACAGUAACCGGAGAAUAAAGCCCCGCCUACUCCGUG